GUCACCACACCCGGUCAUUAGUAUCUAUUAGCUCAUUCAAUCUUGAGUCAGUGUUUGUUUCACAGAUGAACUAACAUAUGUGGCUCUUUGCACAGUGUUACCCAGAACCAAAUUAACCCAAAUGACGAUAACAGCAGGACUUUUAAAUCAUGGCCAUACCACUCUGAAAAUGAACCCAAUCUUGUCUGAUAAAGGAUGGAUUUGGGCAAUCCAGUAAAGAAAACGCCAGCAUUGAGUGGCCUCAUGAAUAUGAAGAUAUCUGGAAAAUCUUCACUACACAGCAUGAUUUCAGGAAUGAUGAAACAAUAAAUGAGAAUCUGGUAUUAAUAAUCUGUGGGUUUUAAAUUGUAUGCCAUCUGAAGAUGUUAGGACCAGUAAUUUCAUGUAUCCUACAAAGUGGAACAUGCCGUAGGGCACAGAGAUUCGUGAUUCAUGAGGAGGUUGGAUGUCUGACGAUAAACGUCCACGCACACAAUUUGAGCCUUUGGUGCUUACUGGCUGUACUAUGGUAAUGCCUCAUUAAUUCAAACCUCUCAAAGCCAGAUUUUGGAAUGAAUCAGGUUGAAAAGAUUGAGAGCUGAUGCCUGCCUUUGCGUAAUUGACAGCCUUUGCUCAGCAAAUUAAGUCGCUUAUAGUUGAUGACCAAAGAAAAUGCAGAGUAUCUGAGAAGCACAAAAUAGGAAGGGUGAACCAUCAGAACAGACUUUCUACAGCCCUCAGAGCAAGGUGUUAUUAUUCCACAGUACGUUCUAGAAAGGAUGUCUGAGCUGCCUUUCUUGUCGAAUAUCAUCUUCUUUCAGAGCACCCCACCCAUUUAUCUUUUAUAAAGGUCAGAACUGGAAUAAAACUGUGUGAAGAGUUUUUUUUUUGUUGUUUUUUUUUUAAGACAGAGGCUCGCUCUGCCACCCAGGCUGGAGUGCAGUGGCUUACUGCAACCUCCACUUCCUGGGUUCAAGCAAUUCUCAUGGCCCAGCCUCCCAGGAAGCUGGGAUUACAGGCAUGCACCACCAUGCCUAAUUUUUGUAUUUUUAGUAGAGACAGGGUUUCACCAUGUUGGCCAGGCUGGUCUCAAACUCCUGGCCUCAGGUGAUCUAUCCGCCUUUGCUUCCCAAAGUGCUGGGAUUACAGGCACGAGCCACCAUGCCUGACCUGCAAAGAGAUGUUUUAAUAAAGACGAUCCAAAGUUGCUUUGUUAUCUCAGUUAAGAAGGAAGAAGGCAGAGGAACAGUUUUCUUCCCAUGGGCAGACAAAGUACUUCUUCUAGAAAGACUUCAGACAACAUCUCUCCACUUGUCUUAAGUAGAAUGUGCAAAGUCUUCUCUCCACAACUACUUACCCUUGCAACUAUCACUCUGGUUGUAGAGAUGGAGUGAUGAGCUUCCACUCUGUGUCCCCACCCAAAUCUCAUCUUAAAUUGUAAUCCUCACAUAUGGAGAGAGGAAAGUGAUUGGAUCAUGAGUGUAGUUUCCCCAUGCUGUUCUCAUGGUAGUGAGUGAGUUUUUAUGAGAUCGGAUGGUUUUGUAAGUGUCUGGCAUUUUCCCUGCUUGCGCUUCUCUCUCCUGCCGCCAUGUGAAGAAGGAUCUUGCCUCCCCUUCACCUUACACCAUGAUUGCAAGUAGCCUUGGCUGAAACUUUCUGCAUCUGGUACUCUGAUAAAUUUCCCUGUAUAUCAGCCAGAAUGUUUUCUGGUCAGACUAGAACUUGGAGCAAAAGAGGGAAGAGCAAAGGCCCACUGGGACCCUGCUAUUCUGGGACACACAGCUUGGUGGCCGGGUGGCCUGGCGGCCUGGCUUAUACCUGCCCUUUCCCCAGAAGUAAUUUGUCAUUCUGUCUGCUCUUGUUCUCAAGAAAUGUAAGUGCUUUAGUGAAAAGCUGCUGCCCAAUACACACCAAUGUGUGUGCUUUCAGGCAGACACUGGACACACCAAGGCCAUGAAGUCCCUUGUGGAAUAGAAGUGUGUUGAGUCCAGCACUGAGAAGCCAAAGACUUGGUCUCCAACAAGACUCCUGAACAUUUAGAACAUGGUUCCCUUCCCUCUUAUGGCAUAAAUGGGACUGCAAAAUGCUUCUCAAUGAAUAAUCGCCACUUUUCCUCCUUUGCUUUGUAAUGACAGUAUUUCAUGGAAAAGAAUCUUGUCAUAUCAUAUAUCUAUGUGAAUCUUUCCAGUGAAUUAAUUGUGCAAAUUCCUGCUCUGCUAGAGAAAUAAAUACUUCUG
This is a long non-coding RNA of Callithrix jacchus (white-tufted-ear marmoset), 2216 nucleotides long. RefSeq lists it as uncharacterized. The record is from RefSeq and is a predicted model, not a curated record. Lineage: Eukaryota; Metazoa; Chordata; Mammalia; Primates; Cebidae.